RNAcentral lists this ribosomal RNA (447 nucleotides) under uncultured bacterium. RNAcentral describes it as "bacterial SSU rRNA". It matches the Rfam family "Bacterial small subunit ribosomal RNA", at positions 355 to 825 of the family's 1533-position model. The record is from RNAcentral.
UCGGGAAUUUUGGGCAAUGGGCGAAAGCCUGACCCAGCAACGCCGCGUGAAGGAUGAAGUCUCUCGGGAUGUAAACUUCGUAAGAAUAGGAAGAAUAAAUGACGGUACUAUUUGUAAGGUCCGGCUAACUACGUGCCAGCAGCCGCGGUAAUACGUAGGGACCAAGCGUUGUUCGGAUUUACUGGGCGUAAAGGGCGCGUAGGCGGCGUGGUAAGUCACUUGUGAAAUCUCCGAGCUUAACUCGGAACGGUCAAGUGAUACUGCUGUGCUAGAGUACAGAAGGGGCAAUCGGAAUUCUUGGUGUAGCGGUGAAAUGCGUAGAUAUCAAGAGGAACACCUGAGGUGAAGACGGGUUGCUGGGCUGAUACUGACGCUGAGGCGCGAAAGCUAGGGUAGCAAACGGGAUUAGAUACCCGAGUAGUCCCUGAGCGGGCUGGCAAGGCGCAU